UCACUGUGUAGCUUAUGAAUUCACUAUUGGC
This 31-nucleotide non-coding RNA is filed under the name Rattus norvegicus (Norway rat). Lineage: Eukaryota; Metazoa; Chordata; Mammalia; Rodentia; Muridae. The record is from RNAcentral.